CUGGUGGGUUUCUCUGAAAUCCUGCUGUGACUACGCCAAGAACUGUCGAUGAAAAUAAUCCAUAACCAAUCUGUAAAUGAAAAUUUGGGUGAGUUUAUUCUGAGCUGAAAUCUGAGGACCAUGGCCCAGGGCCUUUCUUCCCGAAGGAAGAAAGGAUACCAAAGAAAUGAGGUGUACAGAAUAGUUAUAUACCCCCAAAGGGGGUGCUUUACAUAUGAUUGAAAUGUCCCUCCCACAAUAGUCACAAGAUUGCCCUGUCUGCACAGCGCUUGAUGGACACAGCAGGUAGUGGGUCUGCUAUCUUGGUGGGUGUAGCAGGAGGCAAGUCUAUUGUCUCGAGCUGGGUGGUCACAGGUGAGCGCAGCAAUCAGUUUCUAGCCUAAGGAAAGAUGCUUAAUCCUUAAGGAGACGCCAACGUUGGGAGGGGGAGGGAAGUUGCACCUUUAUCUCAAAGGCCUUUUGCUCUUGCCAUAGGGAAUCUCUAAAGCAGAUAUACAAUGCAUGCUCAAC
Equus caballus (horse) is the source of this 510-nucleotide long non-coding RNA. The record is from Ensembl. NCBI's taxonomy places the organism in Eukaryota, Metazoa, Chordata, Mammalia, Perissodactyla, Equidae.